CCUACGUGACCAGGUUCAGACACAGUCUGCAGCCGCCCGCCUCGCACCCCCACUCUGCAGUGCGGUAUGUGGGGAGCUCAGGGCACAGCAGGCCAGGCCUCCCCGUGGACGUCCAGGAACCAGAACCAAACUGCCCAGGGCCCCAGAGGGGAAGAUGUCUCAGCAGACGGACAGCCGAGGCUCACAUGGCAAGCUCUGGCAGCCUGUCGGUCCCAGGAGAGAGGGGGAGAUGGCAGACGGGAAAAGAAGCCACCUGCUGGGAUGCUGAGACUCGCUUGCAGGAGCUUUUGGAACUGGCUGAGGUCACAGCUGGAACCACUGUGGCCAGCUGGAGUCUGCACAGCCCGAGUUUCCACCCCAGGGUCCCAGUAACUCCGCCCAAAUGUGCACACGAGACCUAUGAGGAGACAUAACUUUCCAGAACCCCCUUUUCUUCCACCAGCCACUUACUCAUCCAAGAACCCACCCCCGAACCUUCCCUAAUAGAAACACUGCAUUAAAGCCAGCGCGGGGAGACAGACGUGAACUGCGCCCCUGUCUCCUUGUGGGUUGGCCUAGAAUAAAAGCUUUUCUUUUCUCAAAAACC
This 586-nucleotide long non-coding RNA is filed under the name Homo sapiens (human). Its description in RNAcentral is "TRPM2 antisense RNA". The record is from RNAcentral. Lineage: Eukaryota; Metazoa; Chordata; Mammalia; Primates; Hominidae.